GGGGCCGUAGCUUAGCAUGGUUGGAGCACCCGGCUGAUAGAAGCCCCUUUAAAAAAGCGGCUUUACCCGUAAAAGGGGGCUUUCAGAUACCGGGAGGUCGCCGGUUCAAAUCCGGUCGGCCCCA
RNAcentral lists this transfer RNA (124 nucleotides) under Aciduliprofundum boonei T469. It matches the Rfam family "tRNA". From Rfam's summary of the family: Transfer RNA (tRNA) molecules are approximately 80 nucleotides in length. Lineage: Archaea; Methanobacteriati; Thermoplasmatota. The record is from Rfam by way of RNAcentral.